UAUAGCAGCAAUAUCACCCUGAAGCCCAAGACUGGUCACCCACUGAAGCUAAGCAGGGUUGAGCCUGGUUAGUACCUGGAUGCGAGACCUCCUGGGAAAACUAGGUUGCUGCUGGAA
This 117-nucleotide ribosomal RNA is filed under the name Sinocyclocheilus rhinocerous. Lineage: Eukaryota; Metazoa; Chordata; Actinopteri; Cypriniformes; Cyprinidae. The record is from RNAcentral.